RNAcentral lists this ribosomal RNA (424 nucleotides) under Fusobacteriota bacterium. RNAcentral's name for it is "Fusobacteria bacterium partial 16S ribosomal RNA". It matches the Rfam family "Bacterial small subunit ribosomal RNA", at positions 355 to 776 of the family's 1533-position model. Lineage: Bacteria; Fusobacteriati; Fusobacteriota. The record is from RNAcentral.
UGCGGAAUAUUGGUCAAUGGGCGAGAGCCUGAACCAGCCAAGUCGCGUGAAGGAAGACAGUCCUAAGGAUUGUAAACUUCUUUUAUACGGGAAUAACGGGCGAUACGAGUAUUGCAUUGAAUGUACCGUAAGAAUAAGCAUCGGCUAACUCCGUGCCAGCAGCCGCGGUAAUACGGAGGAUGCGAGCGUUAUCCGGAUUUAUUGGGUUUAAAGGGUGCGUAGGUUGUUCGGUAAGUCAGCGGUGAAACCUGAGCGCUCAACGUUCAGCCUGCCGUUGAAACUGCCGGGCUUGAGUUCAGUGGCGGCAGGCGGAAUUCGUGGUGUAGCGGUGAAAUGCAUAGAUAUCACGAGGAACUCCGAUUGCGAAGGCAGCUUGCCAUACUGCGACUGACACUGAAGCACGAAGGCGUGGGUAUCAAACAGG